This 289-nucleotide long non-coding RNA is filed under the name Phoenix dactylifera (date palm). Its description in RNAcentral is "long non-coding RNA (PDAC_LNC002489)". Lineage: Eukaryota; Viridiplantae; Streptophyta; Magnoliopsida; Arecales; Arecaceae. The record is from RNAcentral.
CUUCCUCUUUCCUAGCAAAAUAGAGGAGGAAGAGAGGCAGGUUGAUGGCUGCCAUAUCGUGGUCUGACGAGGUAGUAGUAGGCGGUGGUGGCAGGCAGUAGAGGGCGGCUAGUGGUGGCGGCCAGUCGGCUGAAUUCAACCCAAAAAUAGGGUCAAAUAGGUUGAUUCUUAGCUCGAUUGUACUCGGAUCCCACCGCACUCGUCGACGGCUGGAGGUCCGGCUCCAACUAGGGAUGAAGGUAGAGAGGCUGGACAACUCAAUCAAGGCCUCGACGUCAAGAAAUGGUGG